Molecule: long non-coding RNA, 1679 nt
Organism: Cavia porcellus (domestic guinea pig)
Lineage: Eukaryota; Metazoa; Chordata; Mammalia; Rodentia; Caviidae
Source: Ensembl
UCCCCAGUCCCUCCUAAGUCUUAUUCUAACCGGCCCCUUUCCAUAUUCGCAGCUUCUUUCUCCAGCAAUGAGAAACCUGCUCUGGGUUACUUAUUUGUUCAGUCUUAGAACACUCAAAAAGUAGUUUCGGAAUUGCUCACACAUCCGCCUGUGAAAAACAAACCUAGAAGCAACCAGUUGUUCGUGUCACCUAUUCAGCGCCAAGCGUGGGUGCUCUUUGGCAGAAAAGGAGAAAGAGAACGAUAAAAUCAGAACUCGCUCACCGGAAGGAGAGUGUACGCCUCCCUGGCAUGCAGAGUCUGCCCUGAGGACCAGGCUGAAGGAACCGCAUGAUCUAAUUGCAUGGAGAACAGCUGGAGGCAGAGACCAAAGGCCACUCAUGCUGCCCUUGUGACGCCCUAAGGGAGGAGCCCGCCUCCAUUCCCCAAACAGCCCAUGGUGGGGGACAGCAGCAGACAGACCUGGCAGGCGGACGGCACUGAGUCCAGAGGGAGCAUCAGGGAGGAGCCCAUGGCCAUGAGAAAGAGAGAGGCAGCCCUGGCCGUGCCUGGAGACACUCGGUGAUGACUUUGCUGCUGGGAGUUGCUGUUGGUGCCUGGUAAAGGGCCAAAGGGCCAGCGCUGCUGACUCUCCUGCCAUGCACAGAACAGGAACUUUCUUCAUCUGGGGAGAAAGGGUGUUCCUUCCUGUUCCGACAGGUGACUCAGACCCAAGUCAACUUGGCCACUGCCUCUGGCCUCUGUGGAAACCCCCAGAGGAGCCCCGUUCGUCCAGGUACUUCCUGAUCAUAUGCUCUCACAGAUGCUUCUCUGGACUCUGUGCUAUUCUGUGCCUUUUGCUGGUCUGUACUUCACUGUGGCUUCUCGGAUCAAAGCUGCUAUUUGGGAAUGUGCAGUUGUCACCACCCCUGCAGUUGUGCCACGUUCACACUUGAAAUGUGAAGUCAACGCUGUCUGCCUGGAGCCCAGCUGCCCUGCUCUGGACUUGCUGCUGAAAGAUGUCUGAGCCCUGGAACACAAGGCAUCUCCUGCUGUCUUGUGAUAUGCUACAAACAAAAUACGGGCACCCUCGAGGGUCUCGGUGGCCUCUCUCCCCGCCUCUGCCACAGCUAUGCUUCCUGUGGACUGGCGGGGUUCGGGUUCGCUGGCUCUCUGAGCAGCACCUAGCUUAGGCACCGCUGGACGACGCCCCCUCCCCCACCGUCUGUGUCUGAGUUCUGUCCCCAAAUCACCCUCUUUGCCCCUCGGUGCCGUGUAGCCACUUCCUGCGCACUAUUUGUUGCUUAAAUGGCACAGUCAGAAUAACACUUUAAACAGCUUCUCCUGCUCUAAAGUAGUUUUCCUUUGCAGGCCUAUUUCUUCUCUGAGUGUUGGAGUUUUGUACUCUGAAAAUGCAGGUUAGGUGCCUGACAAUGCUCGGAGUCCCUUCCUUGGCUAGGAAAAGAAUCGGAAUCGCUUGCCUCUGCGAGUCCUGAGCAUCAGGCACCAGGCUAAACUCUGUGUGUCCUUGAUCAUCUUAUGUAACCCCCACCCCCACCCCGCAGCCUGGGGAGCAAGCUGUGUUAUUACCCUCGCUGUACAGAUUGGGGAUAUUGGCUCCAGGUCACCUAGACUGUGAGGGGCUAGAAAUCACACACUUGUCCUCCACCAGGACCAGCCCCUGGGGCAGCUAACAGUGUG